GAGGAAGUAUAAGUCGUAACAAGGUUUCCGUAGGUGAACCUGCGGAAGGAUCAUUAAAGAAAUAAACCUGAUGGAAUGUAGCUGGCUCUCUCGGGAGCAUGUGCACCUCCGUCAUCUUUAUCUUUCCACCUGUGCACCCUUUGUAGAGAUUCUGUGGGACUUUCAGGCCUUCACUGGCCGCCCUCUCGCGAGGGUAGAAGGUUUCUCGGUCUCUACGUUUUAUUAUCUAUACACGCAUGUCAAAGAAUGUAAUCAUAAAGGCCAUAAAAAAGCCUAUAUAAACAAAAUACAACUUUCAGCAACGGAUCUCUUGGCUCUCGCAUCGAUGAAGAACGCAGCGAAAUGCGAUAAGUAAUGUGAAUUGCAGAAUUCAGUGAAUCAUCGAAUCUUUGAACGCACCUUGCGCUCCUUGGUAUUCCGAGGAGCAUGCCUGUUUGAGUGUCAUUAAAUCAUCAAAGCCUUUCCAGUUUUGCGACUGCGCUUAGGACUUUGGACUUGGGAGCGCUGUUGGCCCUUGUGGUCGACUCUCCUCAAAAGCAUUAGCUGGUAAAAGCUCUUGCAAACUGGACGCAUGGCGUGAUAAUUAUCAAUGCCCCGUUCAGUGAGCACCUAGUCAUGGGCGACCUCCGCUUCUAAUCGUCCCCCUUGGGACAAAUCUUUGACCAUUUGACCUCAAAUCAGGUAGGACUACCCGCUGAACUUAAGCAUAUC
RNAcentral lists this ribosomal RNA (711 nucleotides) under Pholiota sp. GG104_88. RNAcentral's name for it is "eukaryotic LSU rRNA". The stretch from base 291 to 444 matches the Rfam family "5.8S ribosomal RNA". The record is from RNAcentral. Lineage: Eukaryota; Fungi; Basidiomycota; Agaricomycetes; Agaricales; Strophariaceae.